AGGAACCGUGUGCAGGAAAACUGCUCGCACGGAUCUGUGGGGGAGCGGGGAGGCAACGAACCGCUCUACCCGGAA
Molecule: unclassified non-coding RNA, 75 nt
Filed under: Chitinophaga sp. CF118
Lineage: Bacteria; Pseudomonadati; Bacteroidota; Chitinophagia; Chitinophagales; Chitinophagaceae
Source: RNAcentral